GCUCCGCCCCGCGCCUGUGCUGCAUUGGGCUGUGCGGGAGCGGUGCGUGGGGAGCACCGGCACUCGGCGCCCCGUGUCAGAUGCAGCACAGAUCCACCACCGCAACGCCCCAGGAACAGGGGAGCUUUUUAAUCCCUUAAUCUGCUUCAUUACCGUGACUCCUGCGCGGUGAUAUCGCACCUUUUCUCUGCCCCAACCAAUGUGAAAUAAAUAGGAUCGGUCUCACAACCCCGCUGCAGUACGACUGUUGCUGCACGUACUGAUUUGUUGGCUACGAUAUUUUACGUGUUCUAUACCGUACGUGCAAAUGUGGACUUCAUGGGAGCUCGUUCUCAGGGGGCUUCGCCACCAGCAGGAAGCACCUCCGGCUGUAACAGUCUGCCAGCGAACAUCGCCCUGUUAGCACAGAACACGAGCCUCGUAGGACCUUUCAGACAAAGGUGAAAAUGCACGAUUCGUGGCAGCAAAGCUAAUGAGCACAGGGGACCAUGAAGAAAAAUACCCUGUAAAAUGCCAAGAGUUACAUGGGCAAUGUACCGCUUUCUACGAGACUUCCUCUUUUCAUUCCGGAAGGCAGCAAACUUCUCACAGAAAAAAAACAAACGUGGCUUUGCUUUAAGAGGUUCUGACUAUUAGCUGUACAGCGUGACUGUUCAUCCUGCAGUACUAUGCAGGAAGAAAAGCGUCUCUUCUCCCCUGCUGUGGAAUUAUUAAGAUCACCAUAACAAAGGAACAAAAGGAGCCCGGACUUGCAGGAAGGAAUUGGAGUGAGUGGAUGGAAUGGAGAAGGAAGACACUGGAGGAGUGGAAUGGAUGCUAUCCUGAGGAACUAGAAUCUGUCUUCACCAGAAAAUUCUUGAGUGAUGCAGGGGAAGGUAUUUAAACCAAAAUUUUAAUUGUCUGCUUAAGUUAAAGGUCAAAUCUCCUUCCUGACUGCAGCUGAAGAAAAGAGGCCAGCUCUGUCCAGAGCACAAAUGUUGGAGUCCUCCUAUCUCUCCCAGCUAAAAUUUCUGAAUUAAAUACAUAGAGAUAA
Molecule: long non-coding RNA, 1033 nt
Organism: Centrocercus urophasianus (Greater sage-grouse)
Lineage: Eukaryota; Metazoa; Chordata; Aves; Galliformes; Phasianidae
Exons: 2
Source: RefSeq, a predicted model, not a curated record